This 435-nucleotide ribosomal RNA is filed under the name uncultured bacterium. RNAcentral describes it as "partial 16S ribosomal RNA". It matches the Rfam family "Bacterial small subunit ribosomal RNA", at positions 29 to 507 of the family's 1533-position model. The record is from RNAcentral.
AACGAACGCUGGCGGCAUGCCUAACACAUGCAAGUCGAACGAUUGCCUUCGGGUGAUAGUGGCGCACGGGUGCGUAACGCGUGGGAAUCUGCCCUUAGGUUCGGAAUAACAGCUGGAAACGGCUGCUAAUACCGGAUGAUAUCGCGAGAUCAAAGAUUUAUCGCCUGAGGAUGAGCCCGCGUUGGAUUAGGUAGUUGGUGGGGUAAAGGCCUACCAAGCCGACGAUCCAUAGCUGGUCUGAGAGGAUGAUCAGCCACACUGGGACUGAGACACGGCCCAGAAUCCUACGGGAGGCAGCAGUGGGGAAUAUUGGACAAUGGGCGAAAGCCUGAUCCAGCAAUGCCGCGUGAGUGAUGAAGGCCCUAGGGUUGUAAAGCUCUUUUACCCGGGAAGAUAAUGACUGUACCGGGAGAAUAAGCCCCGGCUAACUCCGUG